Molecule: ribosomal RNA, 281 nt
Filed under: uncultured soil bacterium
Lineage: Bacteria
Description: partial 16S ribosomal RNA
Rfam family: Bacterial small subunit ribosomal RNA
Source: RNAcentral
AGAAUCAACGCUGGCGGCGUGUCUCAGACAUGCAAGUCGAACGCGAAAGUUUCCUUCGGGAAGCGAGUAGAGUGGCGCACGGGUGAGUAACACGUAGGUAAUCUACCUUUGGAUGGGGAAUAACAACCGGAAACGGUUGCUAAUACCGCAUAAUGCAGCGGCACCUAAUGGUGACAGUUGUUAAAGCGGGGGAUCGAAAGACCUCGCGUCUGAAGAGGAGCCUGCGGCGGAUUAGCUAGUUGGUAAGGUAAUGGCUUACCAAGGCUACGAUCCGUAACCGG